UACAGAGGUCUCAAGCGUUGUUCGGAUUCAUUGGGCGUAAAGGGUGCGUAGGUGGCGGGUAAGUCAGGUGUGAAAUCGUCGGGCUCAACCCCGAAACUGCACUUGAUACUGCCUUGCUUGAGUACUGGAGAGGAGAUUGGAAUUUACGGUGUAGCAGUGAAAUGCGUAGAUAUCGUAAGGAAGACCAGUGGCGAAAGGCA
Molecule: ribosomal RNA, 200 nt
Filed under: uncultured bacterium
Lineage: Bacteria
Description: partial 16S ribosomal RNA
Rfam family: Bacterial small subunit ribosomal RNA
Source: RNAcentral